RNAcentral lists this ribosomal RNA (492 nucleotides) under uncultured bacterium. Its description in RNAcentral is "partial 16S ribosomal RNA". It matches the Rfam family "Bacterial small subunit ribosomal RNA", at positions 29 to 507 of the family's 1533-position model. The record is from RNAcentral.
AGUGAACGCUGGCGGUAGGCCUAACACAUGCAGGUCGAACCGCAGCACAGUAAGAGCUUGCUCUUACGGGUGGCGAGUGGCGGACGGGUGAGGAAUACAUCGGAAUCUACUUUUUCGUGGGGGAUAACGUAGGGAAACUUACGCUAAUACCGCAUACGACCUACGGGUGAAAGCAGGGGAUCUUCGGACCUUGCGCGAUUGAAUGAGCCGAUGUCGGAUUAGCUAGUUGGCGGGGUAAAGGCCCACCAAGGCGACGAUCCGUAGCUGGUCUGAGAGGAUGAUCAGCCACACUGGAACUGAGACACGGUCCAGACUCCUACGGGAGGCAGCAGUGGGGAAUAUUGGACAAUGGGCGCAAGCCUGAUCCAGCCAUACCGCGUGGGUGAAGAAGGCCUUCGGGUUGUAAAGCCCUUUUGUUGGGAAAGAAAAGCAGCAGGUUAAUACCCCGCUGUUCUGACGGUACCCAAAGAAUAAGCACCGGCUAACUUCGUG